GACGAACGCUGGCGGCGUGCCUAAUACAUGCAAGUCGAACGCUUUUUCUUUCACCGGAGCUUGCUCCACCGAAAGAAAAAGAGUGGCGAACGGGUGAGUAACACGUGGGUAACCUGCCCAUCAGAAGGGGAUAACACUUGGAAACAGGUGCUAAUACCGUAUAACACUAUUUUCCGCAUGGAAGAAAGUUGAAAGGCGCUUUUGCGUCACUGAUGGAUGGACCCGCGGUGCAUUAGCUAGUUGGUGAGGUAACGGCUCACCAAGGCAACGAUGCAUAGCCGACCUGAGAGGGUGAUCGGCCACACUGGGACUGAGACACGGCCCAGACUCCUACGGGAGGCAGCAGUAGGGAAUCUUCGGCAAUGGACGAAAGUCUGACCGAGCAACGCCGCGUGAGUGAAGAAGGUUUUCGGAUCGUAAAACUCUGUUGUUAGAGAAGAACAAGGAUGAGAGUAAAACGUUCAUCCCCUUGACGGUAUCUAACC
Molecule: ribosomal RNA, 485 nt
Filed under: Enterococcus casseliflavus
Lineage: Bacteria; Bacillati; Bacillota; Bacilli; Lactobacillales; Enterococcaceae
Description: bacterial SSU rRNA
Rfam family: Bacterial small subunit ribosomal RNA
Source: RNAcentral